Molecule: unclassified non-coding RNA, 428 nt
Filed under: fungal sp.
Lineage: Eukaryota; Fungi
Description: partial internal transcribed spacer region
Rfam family: Eukaryotic small subunit ribosomal RNA (bases 1-46)
Source: RNAcentral
AAGUCGUAACAAGGUUUCCGUAGGUGAACCUGCGGAAGGAUCAUUAUCAUCCUAUUUUUUUAUGGUGUAGUGAUACUCUCACUUAUCCAUAAAAAUAUAAACCAAACUGUGAACUGUUCUUUGCCUCCAGUGAACCAUUAUGGAGUGCUUUGUAUGGCUGUUCUGAUCUACACAUCGACAAGCGAAAACUUUAUUGAAAGUUGGUUUUAUUUCGUUUGACGGUGUUUUCAGUUCAGCUGUCUGAGUGCUUCGGUCCAUUGGUUGUAUUUUCAAAAACCUCUUUCAUAUUUACUAUUGAAACAAUCCAAUUCAUAACAAUGAACUGAAUUAUUUCUUUUCCAUCUUCAUUUAUUUGGAAAUGGAAGAAAUACCAAAAAUAGUAAUGAAAAAAAAUAAAACAACUCUUAGCAACGGAUAUCUAGGUUCUC